RNAcentral lists this ribosomal RNA (389 nucleotides) under uncultured bacterium. Its description in RNAcentral is "bacterial SSU rRNA". It matches the Rfam family "Bacterial small subunit ribosomal RNA", at positions 30 to 417 of the family's 1533-position model. The record is from RNAcentral.
AUUGAACGCUGGCGGCAUGCCUUACACAUGCAAGUCGAACGGCAGCGGACCUUCGGGUGCCGGCGAGUGGCGAACGGGUGAGUAAUAUAUCGGAACGUACCUUUCAGUGGGGGAUAACGUAGCGAAAGUUACGCGUAAUACCGCAUAUUCUGUGAGCAGGAAAGCAGGGGAUCGGCAAGACCUUGCGCUGAUUGAGCGGCCGAUAUCAGAUUAGCUAGUUGGUGAGGUAAAGGCUCACCAAGGCGACGAUCUGUAGCGGGUCUGAGAGGAUGAUCCGCCACACUGGAACUGAGACACGGUCCAGACUCCUACGGGAGGCAGCAGUGGGGAAUUUUGGGACAAUGGGGCGCAAGCCUGAUCCAGCCAUGCCGCGUGAGUGAAGAAGGCCU